MicroRNA precursor from Nicotiana attenuata, 96 nucleotides. It matches the Rfam family "MIR6152 microRNA precursor family". Lineage: Eukaryota; Viridiplantae; Streptophyta; Magnoliopsida; Solanales; Solanaceae. The record is from Rfam.
UGGACAGAUUAUUGUAUUCGACUGUAUUAACGGCGUGAAACAGGGGAUUACACUGUCUUUAAACGGAAAGUGAAUCAAUUAACAUAAUAGACUCCU